AGCGGGGUGGGGUAGCAAGAGAGGACAAUGAAGUCCCUCUUGCCGAACCAGGUUUAAUGAGUACUUGUAGUGAACAAGCCUCGAAUUCCCCGCAGGGCUCAUAACCCUGAGAUCGGUGGUUCAAAUCCACCCCCCGCUACCA
RNAcentral lists this transfer RNA (142 nucleotides) under Candidatus Bathyarchaeota archaeon. Its description in RNAcentral is "tRNA-Met". The stretch from base 67 to 132 matches the Rfam family "tRNA", at positions 7 to 64 of the family's 71-position model. The record is from RNAcentral. RNAcentral also lists the same sequence under 1 other name. Lineage: Archaea; Thermoproteati; Candidatus Bathyarchaeota.